ACAGGGAGACAGGUGGUGCAUGGUUGUCGUCAGCUCGUGUCGUGAGAUGUUGGUUAAGUCCGCACGAGCGCAACCCUACGUUUAGUUGCUAACGCGUGAAGGCGAGCACUCUAGACGAACUGCCGUUGACAAAACGGAGGAAGUGGGGAUGACGUCAAAUCAUCAUGCCCCUUAUGUUCUGGGCUACACACGUGCUACAAUGGCCGGUACAGACGGACGCAAAGCCGCGAGGUGGAGCAAAUCCUAAAAAGCCGGUCUCAGUUCGGAUUGCAGGCUGCAAUUCGCCUGCAUGAAGUCGGAAUCGCUAGUAAUCGCAGGUCAGCAUACUGCGGUGAAUACGUUCCCGGGCCUU
RNAcentral lists this ribosomal RNA (352 nucleotides) under uncultured Bacillus sp. Its description in RNAcentral is "bacterial SSU rRNA". It matches the Rfam family "Bacterial small subunit ribosomal RNA", at positions 1026 to 1382 of the family's 1533-position model. The record is from RNAcentral. Lineage: Bacteria; Bacillati; Bacillota; Bacilli; Caryophanales; Bacillaceae.